RNAcentral lists this small RNA (12199 nucleotides) under Caenorhabditis elegans. RNAcentral's name for it is "Unclassified non-coding RNA C01G5.26". The record is from RNAcentral. Lineage: Eukaryota; Metazoa; Nematoda; Chromadorea; Rhabditida; Rhabditidae.
CUUGCAUUCAAAUUGUGUCAUCUCUACUACAACUGGCAAGGAACUGUUCGUGUUCCAGCUCCGUGUCAAUAUGCCCACAAACUUGCUUUCUUGACAGCCCAAUCACUUCACGAUGAUGCAAAUGGGUACCUCCGUGACAAGCUGUUCUUCUUGUAAAACCCAUCCUGUGGAUUUCCCGUUUUAAUCAUCUGUUCUAUUAAUCAUAUCAUUGUAAUUGUUCAAAAUUUUAAAAAUCUCUGUUUUCAAAGAACUUAGCUAUUCUAGUCUGGAAUUUGGCAUAUUCCUUAACAAAUUGCGAAAACACACCAAUAAUUUUCUGUUAAAAAAAUUGAAUUUCUACCGUACAAGUGUGAGUACCGCAGCUAAACAGUUUUGCUUGAGCAAGAACCCGAAUCAUAAAAUUCCCAUUGCGAUUCAUAGAAAUGCAUUCCAAUUUUCAGUUUACUGCAGAAAGCAAAAGAACAAAAAUGAGUUAAAGUAAAUAAUUUUCGAUCACUUCCGCCUACUCUUUGGUCCAUUUUCCGGGUGUACGAAGACGGAAAAUUGGUGAAAAAAAGGAGAAAGCUCUGGAUGAGAAGAACAAAAAGAACAUUCCCAUUCUCGAAAUAAACACAUUUUUGCUCUUUUCCGGUCGUAUUUGGUCAGCUGCUACAAAAAAGGGAAUAAUUGUUGGAAAUUGCAGGAGCGAGUAUUUGAAGGAAAUGGAUCAAUAAAUGGGAAUAAAGGUUUUUUUGGAGAAAUCAAAUCUUUCAAAUGACAUUUUCACAUUUGCACUGUCGUCCAAAAAUUUUCCCUCCGGAGUAUCGAAUUUCCUAAUCUUGGGAAAUGGUUCAAUAAUUGGUCCGUAUUUGCGGAUUAUUUCUGAGUGGUUUCACAUUGGUUAUUGAGCUCGUGAGCUUUGGAAACUAGGUUACAAUAUAAUGGUUCAUGAAUAAAACGUGCUGAAAAUCAUAAGGUUUUUCAACGGAAUGCAUAUAUCUUGGAUUUCAUCGUCUGAAAAAUAAAAGAAUGCAAUAUUGAAGUUUCAGUUAACGCUCACUUUUAUUCUCAACGACAACAUCCGUCUCCUUCUUUUCCACUACUACCUCCGAUUCGUUCACCUCCUUCUCAAUAUUAAUUGGCUCCACCGCUUGAGUUGGUGUAUUUUCAGCUGGAUCGGCUUUUGGUGUCGGACUUUCAAUAAUUCCAACUUUUUCAUCUUUAACGAACUUUGUGGACUCAAGCUUAAUCGAAGAUAUUAUAAUUUCCGGGAACCUGCAAAAACUAUAACUAUAUAACUAUAGCUGUAUAAAUGUAUAACUUGAAUAAUGAUUCUUGAAAUAAUCUGGGUUUAACGUCGACACUGAUGCUCAUCGUGUACAAUUUUUUUUUGCUUGCUUUCUAAAAACCCAGAGAAUGAAUACUCGAUUGGUGAUCCACUCUCAUUUCUCAACUUUGGCUGCUCUUUUUUGUUAAUAAUUGUUUAUUGAUAUCUUUAGAAUGAACCGAGAUAUACCCCUUCAAAGUGAAGUAGUCGGCUAAUAGAGAAUAUACGGUAUCGUCUCAGUAUUAACAGAAAGUUGUUUCAGCCUAGUUGCAGACUCAUACAGGACGAUUUUUCUUUUUAAGUUUCUCCUUGAACGCCUGGCGUUUAUUCCGACUUAUAUGAAUUAAGAGAAGCUAGAAAGUGGGGCUACAGAAUUGAGAGAUUUGAGUGAAACUGAAGUUUAUUGUAAUCAGGUUAACGAAAGUCAAAAAGGAUCAUGCAGCUUCACAACUGGUGGAAGUCGUAGUUGUGGCAGUUGCUUGGAUGCGAUUUUGUCUCCUGGUUCCAGUACGAAGCGCCAUUCUUGCAGACUCAAUCGGAUUGGCUCUUUGAAAUAAUUCAAUAAUUUUGUCAAAACUAAAAUAAUUACUUACCAAAUAGACAUACUCCUCCGGCUUCUUAUCCUCAAUUUUCAGUCUGUCAGACUUUCGAUUCUCGUCCAAUUUACUUUCUUUUCGCGUUUCCCCGUCCAUUCGUUGUGAAUUGAUAAGAGAUCUUAUAGUAUUUGAGAAGACAAGUUCAGGCGUAAAAUGAAUAUCAUCUCGCUUCAUCAUUUCCGACAAUGGUUGAAUCUCAUUGAGCACUAGCUUUGUGUUUUUGAUUGUAUGAAGAGUGAUCUGUUUGUGACGAUACAAUUCCAAAUGUUCACUUCCAAUAGAGAUUGCUGGAGCAGUACUACUCUAAAAAUCAUAAAGAUUAUAGAAAAAACAUUAUACACUUUGGCUUACCAAUUCCUCUUCAUUUGGUUCUGGAUUGACCGCCCAAAAAGGUAUUCCAUCUUCAUUUAAUACAUUUACAGUGGUCAUUUUCCGAACAUCUGCCAAUUUUCGAUAUUGAUCAUAAGUGUCCGCUGAUCCCUGAGGUAUCUUCUUCGUGUCUGGGGUCUUUGUGAAGAAAGAAGACCUUUCGUCCACCAGAAAGAGUCCAUUAUCCUUAUUGUACUUUGAUGGAUAUGGUUUCUUUGCUGGCAUUCUGUCCAUCAAAAGUUUCGACUUUUCAUCAAUCGGCGCAGUUAUUCGAGUAGCAUUCUUCUUCUCUGCUGUGAACAUUCGAAAAACCCGCUCCACUUCAGUUUCGUCAACAUCUCGGCUGGUUACUUCAAGGUUCAUAUCCUGAUCGAAUCGAGUAGGGAUGAGACCUGAAAUUUUGAAAUAUAGAAAUGUUGCUCAGAAUUUGGCUCUCAUUUCCAAGCCCUAGGGUUGGUAAUUAAACAACGCCAACUUCUACGAGAGAAGCUUACAUGUUUGAUCUAAUGCUUUUAAAUACCUUUUGAUGGUUGAACAUCUUCAUCAUCCUUCACAGCAUCUUCCUGUUGCUCUCUAAAGUCUUCAGUUCUUGAAUCAUCUUUCUUCUUCUUUUUCAUUUUUUCCACUUUCUUUCCUCCUUCAUCUUUCAAGUUUUUAUCCUUUUCCGGUGUUCCUACUGACACGUCAGUUGGGGUGCGUGAUCCCUUUGACUUUUGCCGAGGCUUCUUAUCAUUUGGCUUAGAUCUCUUUUUCUGAAAGGUGAAUGAUUAAAUCUUGCAUCGAAAUAGACAACUCACUUGUUUACUGUUCUUCUUUUGCGUUUUUCUUUUAGAACCUCUUUUGGAAAAUAAUCCCAUCUCUUCUUGGCAACUUGAGAGGAUGGAGAUCAACUAUGGGAAUGAAUAGAAAAACUGAUUGAAUAGAUAAGUUCAAAUAUCCACGUAAACAACAACGUCGAAAAUUUGAAAAAAACAAUUGAAAACGGUCACGUAAAUUUAGCUUUUUUCCCGAAAUUGAAAUAUUCAAAAUUAAAUUGUUUUCGAUCUUUCCAGAAUUUUCUAGAAUGAACCACACUUUUUACUAUUUUCCCCGUUGAGGAUACACCUUCUUUAAAUAAGUUGUAUUAGUUUUGCUUCCAUUAUUUGUUUCAGAUAGCAAGUUCGGUAUGAAACUUCUUGCUUUUCAACCACAAUAGAAGUCUGUUUAACUUUUAUCAAAGUAUGCAAAGUAUCUGUAAACUGCUGGAUAUUCUCUGGAGCCUCUAUACAAAUUCAGAUCUCUCCGCAUCUUUUGGGGCAGUUAUUGAAGAUUUUCAACAAUGCCAGAGAAAGCAAAGAAGAUUUGCGGAUGAAAACUUCUCAAGUCGAAAUUUCAAUACAUUUAGUUCUCAACCCCAAAAACUUGCAACAAGCCCCGUAAUCACUAUUCAUUUCAAAAAGAAAAGAAAUAAGUUCUAUAAAUCAGUUCACGAGCCAUUUAGAAACCAUUUGUUCCAUAGGCACACUGACUGUGAAUUUCUUGUUCCUGACCAUCCAAUGCAUUUUUAUUUCUGAAAUUAUUAUAUUUUUACCAUUUGUAAUCUUGAAAAUGUGUCUUACCCAAUUACUUUCAACGAUGUAGCAGCUGGAGUCAUUCCAGUUCUCAUAAGACUUCCCUGCUUCGGGGUGAUUCCAAGGUUGUUUGGAGUUCCGGGAAGAGUGUUGGAGUCUUUCAUUGGGGUCGCAAUUGGGGUCAUCCUAUUCUUAUCAACCAAUUUGGCUUUUCCGUCCUCGUUUACCUUGCUUUUGCUCUUCAAUCUCUCCAGUUUCUCCUUUUCCUCCAAUUUCUGCCUGGCCUCAUCAUAUACUUUUAGUGCCAGUAGAUCUUCGUAUCGAGUCUUUUCUUUUGUUUUGUCAUCUUGUUUCUUCUUUCGGUAGCAAAGAUAUGCCAGGAACACAAGGGCAGCCAAAAUGAGCGUUAUCACCAUUGAAACGAUGACGUGUAUACUGAAAAAAAAGAAAAUAUGUUAGAGGAAAAAGCUAUAUGACUACAAAACUCACAAAGGAAAUUUGCAUUCUUUGGAACUGCUUCCAGCAUUGCCACCACCUCCGCCGAUCUUCUGAGAAGCUCUGAUCUUCUGUUGAGUUGAAAAUAAUUUCACCAAGGAAGUGUGGAAUGAUUGAAAGGCAAGUGGAGCCGCUUUGAAUUGUGAAUUAAGGCUAGCGAAUCGAAGAUCCAACUUGGCAAUCUUGUCGAGCACAGCUUUAGCUGCAAUAAGCUUAAACUCGCUGUUCUCUCCAGAUCGUUUCCUCCUCUCAGUCCGUGGAAUUGAUCUUAUCAAUGUCUUCAGUACUGCUACCUUUCCCAACACAUUCAUAAUCACAUCAGGAAUAGCACCCAAUUCCUUAAGAGGAGCACUGUAGUCGUCGAGUGUCUUCAGCUUUGAAACAUUGAUCAUGGCGACAAAAUAUUUGGCCUUUGCAACUGCAUUUUCCAGUGAGCCCAUGUCCUUCUUGUGGUCUCCCCAUUGAUUUUGAAGCUUCUUUAUAUCAGCAGGAUUCUUAAUUUUGCGAAUCUCACCGCUCACAGCUGCAUCGACGUUUUUGAGCUGACCAAUUGAAGAUUCCAGUUCCAAAAGACCAUAUGCACUUUUUAAAGCACUUGCAGAAUAUUCAAUCGCACUCAAAGAUUGGGCCAUCCUGUUCAACUCCAAUGUUUCCUUUGAUGCUCCGUUCUUCAUUUUCUCAGGAAUCGAUUUGAUAGCCGCCAGUUCCUUGAAUAGCUCCGAAAAAUAGAACGUUGAUGUUUCCAAGGGCUCGAUCUCAUCUGCAGUGACAUUUCGGAGUCUUUGAAUGGCACGAACUCCUUUGGAAAGCAUCACACUGUCGCUUGAUGAUUUCUGUAAACAUUGAAGAAAGUUCAUCUCGUCAGCCACUGCUUUCAUGAUGCCUCUUGUGUCAUCCAUGCCAGCUUGUACAGAAUCAGCUUUUGACAGAACUGUGCUGUUAAAAUUAUUGACAUCAAAUCCACUGAUCAACGUUUGAAUUCCAGCAACACGGUUCUGGAGAUUUGUCAACGAUCCCUGUUGUUUAAGAUUCUCAUGUAUGGUUUCAAGCUGCUGGUCCGAAUGAGGUCCACCGUCGCCAUACUUGUUCAACUCGUUAAAUUUUGCAUAUUCCGCAUUCAGCCCUUCCACAUCCAACUUCAUCGCAAUCUCAAGCAUUUCAUUGAUGGGUUUUUGCACAUCUUUAACAAAACGAAUCAGGGUAAUUCCUGGCGAACGAAUAUAAUCUGUUGUCACUGAUUGUAUUCUUUCACAUUCAUCGUAAUCGUUAAGUAAUAUCUUGAAGCCCUUCGAUAACGAGGAAUAUGAUGUGAUCGUUGUGACAAGUGAUUCCAAGGCAACGAGCGAUUGAGACAGUGCAACAGAGCGUACUGUCAUCAACUUAUCGUUCAACGUUUCCAGAUUAUCAGAAGCUUUCAACAGAGGUUGCAAUCCAGAAGUGAUUCUUGCAAAAUGUUCAUCACUGAUAUUCAGAACAUUGGAGAGCCACUGGUCUCGAGCAUCUCCGGCAACAUGUUUCAAGUCCAGAAUUCCACGUGAGAAACCAAUUGUGUGCAUUUUCGAGUGAUCUUGCUCCGCGCGAUUCACCAGUUCCAGAAUCUGCUUGAAAUCACCACUGGCGUCAUUGGCAUUGAUUUCAUUCACUUUUUCUAGGUUUGCUUCCACCAUAUUGCGUGUAUUAUUUGCACCUUUGUUGGAAUACCUUUCUCGUCGAACCAUCAGAUCAAUUACUUGUUCAAGAGGCUUAAAAGUUGUUGCACCAACAGCCAUUUCUCCAUACUCCUUCUCUAUAGACUUCUUGUCAAUCUUCUUCACUGCUUCAAUGGCGGCCAUCAUUUUUUUACAUUGGCUGGGCAAACUUCUGUACUUAUUCCACAAUUCCUUUGCCGUCGCACUUGAUAAUAUUUUUUCAAGUGUGAUUAAGACGGUACUAAUUUCUCUAUUGGCAUCACUGAACAGUUUGAAGUUGUAUUUCUCCAAAUUGUUCUUCACGUUCUUCACUGUCGCAAAGUAGUCAGUCAGUUUUGAUGAUUCGAGAACGUUUUGAACACCAUCCGACUCCAUCCGAAUCUGAUCCAAUUCAAGGAUUUUAGAUUCUAGUUCAUCCAGCUCCGUAGACGCUUUUAGAUCGUUAGGGAUGUCCUUCAGCUUCCGUGUCCAGGCAGCAAUUUUGUCCAAUUUGUAGAAGAUGUCGGACAAUUCGAUAGAUCUCAAACCGAAAAGCUCUCCAACUACGGCAUCGAUCGGAAUCUUUUCAUUCAUCAGUCCAGCCUGCAGGGUGAUUCCAUUGGCAACGUGAGCAAUGACACUUAUAUGUUUGAGGUAGCCAUCGAAGUUGGUAGUGCCUGAAAAUGUAGAAUUGAAUGUGAUGAAGUUUGUUAUUCGGAGCUAUCGACUAUCGGUUUUAAGAAGUACAUCCUCUAACUGCAACUAGGAACUGUGAAAAUGCUUCAGUAAAAUGCAAACUCAAUUAAAUAAUCUAUGUGAACCUAAUUUUAAUUACAUUAUAAAUCCUUUCAUUUCCAAGUUUUUCGCCACGUUUUGUUUACAUAUCUGGAGUUUUGGAAGCGAUACUCUUUGCAUUCGUGACAUUGGUAGAAGUCGUGGCAUUGGCAAAGGCCAGAUGGAGCUGUUGUGGUGAGCUGGGAGAGACGUCGGCGUUGGGAUGACUGAAUGGGGAUUCUGAAAAGGAAAAAUUUAGUUAAUUAUUGUCAGUGUUUAAUGACGUACCGUGGCCAGAAGCACUCCUUUUCAGGAAUGAAGAACGACGAUCCGGAGCAUGUUUGGACAACGGAGUGGCAAGACUGACUGAAUGAUCAGAAGAGGAUUCUGGAAAAAUGCCUAGUUAGAUGGAAGGAUACUUCAUUGCAACGUACCUUGUCCAAUCAAUUGGUAAUCCUGAGAAGCUGCAUCUGGAGAGCCGGACGAGACAGAACGUCCUUGACCAAUAUCGGAGGAUUGGUCCUGAGCGCCGGUGUUCUGAGGAACUCCAAAGGGGUCCGAGAAUCCUGAAACAAAUUCAAAGUUACACUCGGCAACUGAACCAUCAAUAAUUAUACCUUUUCCGAAGUGAGUAGAGUCAUGUGGUAUGGACUUUUGAGCAUUGAGGCCCAGCAAGAGUGCUAAAAUAUUAUCAAAAUUGUCAACCUGAAAGUUCUUGCGAAAAUAAAAACUCACAAACGGCAAUUAUCGAGACAACUCGCAUCCUGCUCCCGUUGUUUUGAUUGCACCAACAAACUUGAUAAAUUGAAUUUGUUGAAUAAAACGUGAUCAAUAGUAGACUGAUCAAUUGAAUACUGAUUGUUUCGAUUAAUCUAAUUGAGGAGGGAGGAGGUAGAAAGGUUAUAACACGUUGGGGGUCACGUGAAAUACUAAUUUAUUUCUAUCAGAACUAUAUUUAUUUUUUAUUAAAAAAACAAAUCACGUAAAAAUAAAAUAUUCAUAAACUUUUUUAACAACAAUUUGUAUGGUCAGUGGGAAUUUUUUUAUCGAAAAAAAUGGUAAAAACUGAGUUUGCGGCACUUUUCAAGAGAUCUUAUGCAAUAACUGUCCUAUAUCCGAACCUCUACAAUUUUGAAGUAUUAAUGUUUUAAAGAUAAUUAAAACAUAAAACUGGAAGCAAAAAAAACCAAAUUUUUUUGAUUGAUGACUGCCUAAAAAUAUGUCUGCAGAAAUCCCCGAAUUUCCAACUUUUUCGAACAAUUUUAUUAGUCAAAAUUUGACUAAAAUUCCAGUUUUGGUUUAGCUGCCAAUUAAUAUUUAUUGCAAAUUCCAAAAAUUAUUUCCUCCAAAACCAAACACCCAAAUUUUUUUAAAUUUUACCAAUUUAUUUAUCGAUGUCUGAACAAUAAUAUAAACACAAAAAAUUGAUACCCACCGUUCAAAAUUUGACGGAAAUUCUAAUUUUAGUUUAGCACCCAAUUAAUAUUUAUUGUAUAAUAUUGUAGUUGUUUCUAAUUCUUUACAAUAAACAUUUAUUUUUUUACUUGGUUCCGCAGUUUGUCAAGCAUAAAUCAAGCAUUUUCGACCAAAAAUUUCCGAAAAAAAAUUGUUUUCUGAAUUUUUUGAACGAAUUUAUUCUUUAACUUAUUGGAAACUGAUUCCGAGCUAACCUACAUGGAAGAUCAAAACUGUUUGAAAGUACCGUAAAAUGAAGUUCACAAUUGAUAAUAUAAAUUCCAGCAUUUUCAGAAAACUCGAUAUGCCACAAAAAAAGUUAUGAAUAAUAUUUAGUUUUUAAUAUUGCACUAAUGUUGAUGUCUGUUUCAACAAGUUGAUAUUAAGAGGAAAUAAAAAUCUUUGCAAUUCCCUUUUGGCCUGUUGUAUAAAUCGUAAGUCAAAGUUGAUAAUUGAUAUUGCCACCUUUUUUGAAAUCCAUUUCUUACUAUUUCUGAAACUAUGUCGAGAUGUUACCCAAAUAUAUAUCCCUGGUUGGCGAAAUCGGUAUUCUAGAUUCUAACUGUUUCACGGUGAAACUCGUGGCGAGAACCAGCAAAAAAGUGUGUGCCUUUAAAUAAAGCUGGAGUACCUGCGCAAAUGCGUAUUUUUCUUUGAAAUGCCUAAACUUGUGUUUAAUUUAUUAUUAAAGUUGAAGAAGCGCCAGUGGGGACAGUGUUAAAAACUACUCAUAUGGUGCCAAAAAAAGUUUGGAAAAAUUUUUAUUCACUAUCAAAAAGUGACAAUUACUCAGUUUUUGCCACUCAUAAUUUUGGAAGUCGUCCUGUGUGUUUUUCUGCAUUUUUUAUGCUUUAAUUUCGUUUUAAUUAUUCGUAUUUAAACAUUGUAGGGGACGGAGCAUGCGAUAUUACUUUGGAUUUCCUCAAAAGCUCAUAUUUUUCAAAAUUUUGACAAUUUGCCAAAACUGACAAGAAAUUAUGAAAAAUCAAAAAAAAAUUUUGAGUGUUUUAUUUUUUUGGAGUGUUGCAUUUUUUAUUUAUUUAUUUUCCGAAUUCGAGACUAUUUUGAGAUGAAAACUUAAAGGCGCAUUGAAUUUCGCGCCUAGGAUAUCUCGUAACGAUUACCGUACCGCCGAAAAGCUGCACGCGUUUGGGAUUUUUUUUGUUUUUUGUUUGCAUUUUCCAAUUUUUCCGCAUGUUCCUUUUGAAGUUUGAUUGAUUUUAUUCAUUUUCGUGAUUAAUUUGAUAAAACUUUAUAUCUUCUGUAGUUUCAAACACUUCCCGAACGAUGUUUUCUGAAUUUUCAGCACGUUUUUAUACUAAUUAUAAUUUACUGUAAUAUUUUUUAGGUAAUAAUGGCAUCUGGAAGUGGUCGCGGAAGAGGCCGUGGUUCAGGAUCGAACAACAGUGGAGGACAAAAUCAGAAGUAUCUGGGAACUAUCCAACCCGAUCUCUUCAUUCGUCAGCAAGGAGAACCGAAAACUGGAAACUCGGGCCAACCAUCAAAAUGAUUUGCAAACUUCAUCCCGAUUGAGAUGAUUCAGAACGACUACAGUAUCUACCAGUACCACGUCGAAUUUGAGCCCACUGUGGAUUCGAAGGCGACCAGGGAAAAUAUGCUGCGACAACCAAGCGUUACCGUGGAAAUCGGGAAACAUUUUGUUUUCGACGGAAUGAUUCUCUAUCUGAAGGAGGAGUGGGAUCAGAAUGUUGGUUUAAUUAUCAGCAAUUCCAAUAAUUAUUUUUCUUUCAGCAAAUGAUCGAGGUUCAACACCCUAAUGAUAACUCGCUGAUUUGCAUUCGAUUCAAGAAAACGAACCGUUUCCUUGUCGAUGAUCCACAAACCAUCAACAUCUUCAAUACGAUCAUUCGUCGAAGCUUCGAUGCGAUGAAGCUAACACAAAUUGGUCGCAACUACUUCGACUGGGACAAUUCUCGUGCAGUGCCGGAUUAUAAUAUGAGUAUUCUGCCUGGGUAUGAGACGGCGAUCCGCAUGUAUGAGGAUAAUCUCAUGCUCUGCGUCGAAAAUCGUUUCAAGAUGGUCCGCGAAGAUUCAAUGCUCAUUCUUCUAAGUGCUGGGAUAUAAUUCGGAAAACAAUUGUUUUUUGCAGCUUCGAAAGGAACUUCGCUCUUGUCAGAACAAUCGGCAACGCGUUCAGGAGAAAAUGAAUGAGGUGUACGGUGGUAGCACAAUAAUUACUCGAUACAACAACAAGCUGCACCGUUUCACUAGGCUCGAUAACGAAAUCACCCCUCUCAGUAAAUUCCAGAAAGAUGGAGAACAAAUCAUCCUAAAAGAGUACUUCAAGAAUCAAUACGAUAUUGAUAUCACCGAUGACGAGCAAUUCAUCAUCGUAACUUUUUGUUUUUAUUAUGAAUUGAGAAUAUUUCUCGGUUUCAGAUCUCCGAAGGAAAACCAAAGCAACCAGGAGAGCCUCCACAGGUCAAUUAUAUCGUUCCUGAAUUGUGCUUCCCGACUGGACUGACGGAUGAGAUGCGCAAGGACUUCAAGAUGAUGAAGGAAAUUGCAAAGCACACUCGUAUGUCUCCACAGCAAAGACUUGACGAGACAAGAAAACUGAUUACCAAGUUGAGUCAAAACCAAACGAUGAUGGAGUGCUUCCAGUACUGGGGGAUUUCUCUCGGACAAGAUCUUGCGAAUGUUCAAGCUAGAGUAUUGAAGUCUGAACCUCUCCAAGGAAAGAGACAAUACGAAGGAAAGCAAGCAGAGUGGGCUCGCGGUGUCAAGGAAUGUGGCAUUUAUCGUGGUUCCAACAUGACCAACUGGAUUGUGAUUGGACCUGGUUCGGGGAAUUCAGGACUGCUGGCGCAGAAGUUCAUUGGUGAGUUGUCACUUGUUUAAUUGUUAAACAAAUUUUUUUUCAGCGGAGGCUCGUAAUCUUGGUAGGACACUUCAAGUGCAGCUAGGAGAGCCAAUGUGUGUCAAAAUAAAUGGCAUCUCUCCCAACGAUUACUUGGAAGGAUUGAAGGCUGCCAUCAAGAGUGUCGAUGGGGAGGAAAUUCAUAUGCUCGUCGUGAUGCUGGCUGACGACAAUAAGACGAGAUAUGACAGUCUGAAGAAGUAUCUCUGCGUCGAGUGUCCCAUUCCCAAUCAAUGCGUGAAUUUGCGCACGUUGGCUGGAAAGUCCAAGGAUGGAGGAGAGAACAAAAACUUGGGUUCUAUUGUUCUGAAGAUUGUUCUUCAAAUGAUCUGCAAGACUGGUGGAGCUCUAUGGAAAGUUAAUAUUCCGGUUAGUUCGGUUCAGCAUUUGGUUUGAAACCAAAAUCUAAUUUUCAGCUCAAGAGCACAAUGAUCGUCGGAUACGAUCUGUACCACGAUUCGACGUUGAAGGGAAAAACUGUCGGUGCUUGCGUAUCUACAACUUCCAACGACUUCACGCAAUUCUAUUCUCAAACAAGACCUCAUGAGAAUCCAACGCAGCUUGGAAACAAUUUGACCCACUUCGUCCGAAGUAAGAUUAUUAAUUUGAGGAUAAAUGGCUUAAUAAGAAAUUUUCAGAGUCUCUGAAGCAGUAUUACGACAAUAACGAUAAAACUUUGCCGAGCCGAUUGAUUCUCUACAGAGAUGGUGCUGGAGACGGACAAAUUCCGUAUAUUAAGAACACCGAAGUCAAGUUGGUCCGUGACGCUUGCGAUGCCGUGACCGACAAAGCUGCGGAGCUGAGCAACAAAGUUCAAGAGAAGAUCAAACUGGCAUUCAUCAUUGUCACGAAACGUGUGAAUAUGCGUAUUCUCAAGUAUGCAUUCUGUUUUUAACGUCGGUAAUGAAAAGUUUUUAGGCAAGGAUCGUCGUCUAAAAGUGCCAUCAAUCCGCAACCAGGAACCGUCGUCGACACAACUGUCACUCGCCCAGAGAGAAUGGACUUCUACUUGGUUCCGCAGUUUGUCAACCAGGGAACUGUAACACCCGUGUCCUACAAUAUCAUCCACGAUGAUACUGGUCUUGGUCCGGACAAGCAUCAACAGG